UUUUCCCUUGCUGUGUGGGGACUUGCACAGAGCUCACCAUCGUGGCCGAUCCUAAAUUGCAAUUCUCUGCUAUCCCGAAUAAACCCAUCCUAGCUGGAGAAAUAUCUGGCCGUCUAUUUGUUUCAGAUUAUUCUAUUACAGAAUAUCUCAUCUGGGCUGUCCGGCCUCAUUUGUGCCCUAGGGCAGGGGCCCCCAACCCCCGGGCCAUGGACUGGUAUUGGUCCUUGGCCUGUUAGGAACCAGGCUGAACAGCAGGAGGUGAGCAGCAGGCCUGUGAGCAAAGCUUCAUCUGUAUUUACAGCCACUCCCGAUCGCUUGCAUUACCGUCUGAGCGCCGCCUCCUGUCAGCAUGAUGGUGAAAUGAUGUUCAUGUUGCAGACUCCGAAUUGCUUCCCUGUUUGGACCUGACACAUCUGGGUCUGUCUGUGGGUAAUGUGGCCUCUGAGGACAUCUUUAUACACUUGGCAAAGGGACCACCUUUUCAAGCUUGGACCUUAAAAUCCCAGUAAGAUCUUCCUCACAAAUGGGCUCCAAGGGACUUCCCUGGUGGCGCAGUGGUUACGAAUCCGCCUGCUAAUGCAGGGGACACGGGUUUGUUCCCUCGUCCAGGAAGAUCCCACAUGCCGCGGAGCAACUAAGCCCAUGCGCCACAACUACUGAGCCCGCAUGCUGCAACUACUGAAGCCCACGCGCCUAGAGCCCGUGCUCCACAACAAGAGAAGCCACCGCAAUGAGAAGCCCACGCGCCACAACAAAGAGUAGCCCCCCACUCGCCACAACUAGAGAAAGCCCACGUGCAGCAACAAAGACCCAACGC
Long non-coding RNA from Balaenoptera ricei (Rice's whale), 817 nucleotides. RefSeq lists it as uncharacterized. The record is from RefSeq and is a predicted model, not a curated record. The transcript is spliced from 4 exons. Lineage: Eukaryota; Metazoa; Chordata; Mammalia; Artiodactyla; Balaenopteridae.